AACGGUAUGAUAUACUAUAGGAGUAGUUUUUGUUCGGUAAUCUGUGGUAGCUUGUUUCAAAUAAACAUCUUCCAGAUAUACACCAUUCAAGUAAUUGCAAAAUAUGUGUUGAUACACAAGGAGGAUUUUUAUUAUGGAAACAGGUACAGUAAAAUGGUUUAACUCAGAAAAAGGAUUUGGAUUCAUCACUGCAGAAAACGGAAACGAUGUAUUCGUUCAUUUCUCAGCUAUCCAAGGCGACGGAUUCAAAACUUUAGAAGAAGGCCAAGCAGUAACUUUCGAUGUUGAAGAAGGCCAACGCGGACCUCAAGCAACAAACGUUACUAAAGCUUAAUUAACCUAUACUAAAAAAUAAACGCCCAGACAUUUGCGUGUCUGGGCGUUUUUG
This 388-nucleotide small RNA is filed under the name Enterococcus faecium. RNAcentral describes it as "cspA". It matches the Rfam family "cspA thermoregulator". The record is from RNAcentral. Lineage: Bacteria; Bacillati; Bacillota; Bacilli; Lactobacillales; Enterococcaceae.